AGAACGAACGCUGGCGGCAGGCUUAACACAUGCAAGUCGAACGCUCCGCAAGGGGAGUGGCAGACGGGUGAGUAACGCGUGGGAAUCUACCCAAUACUACGGAAUAGCUCCGGGAAACUGGAAUUAAUACCGUAUGUGCCCUACGGGGGAAAGAUUUAUCGGUAUUGGAUGAGCCCGCGUUGGAUUAGCUAGUUGGUGAGGUAACGGCCCACCAAGGCGACGAUCCAUAGCUGGUCUGAGAGGAUGAUCAGCCACACUGGGACUGAGACACGGCCCAGACUCCUACGGGAGGCAGCAGUGGGGAAUAUUGGACAAUGGGCGCAAGCCUGAUCCAGCCAUGCCGCGUGAGUGAUGAAGGCCUUAGGGUUGUAAAGCUCUUCAGGUGGGAAGAUAAUGACGGUACCCACAGAAGAACGCCCGGCUAACUUCGUGCCAGCAGCCG
This 442-nucleotide ribosomal RNA is filed under the name uncultured bacterium. Its description in RNAcentral is "SSU rRNA". It matches the Rfam family "Bacterial small subunit ribosomal RNA", at positions 26 to 517 of the family's 1533-position model. The record is from RNAcentral.